UGAAUACGAGAUGCUACGGCGUCGAAGCAGUGUAUGUCAGACUUCCAAGAAAAGCUCGCAAUGUCAUAAAUAAAUAAUGCCUGUACCAUAACCGACACAGGUGGGUAGGUAGAGUAUACUAAGGGGCGCGAGAUAACUCUCUCUAAGGAACUCGGCAAAAUAACUCCGUAACUUCGGGAGAAGGAGUGCCUUAUUUAUAAGGUUGCAAUAACAAGAUCCAAGCAACUGUUUAUCAAAAACACAGGUCUCCGCUAAGUCGUAAGACGAUGUAUGGGGGCUGACGCCUGCCCAGCGCCAGAAGGUUAAAGAAGUUGGUUAGCAUUGCGAAGCUGAUGACUGAAGCCCUGGUGAACGGCGGCCGUAACAAUAACGGUCCUAAGGUAGCGAAAUUCCUUGUCGGGUAAGUUCCGACCCGCACGAAAGGCGUAAUGAUUUGGAUACUGUCUCGGAGAGGGACUCGGUGAAAUAGACUUGUCUGUGAAGAUGCGGACUACCUGCACCAGGACAGAAAGACCCUAUGAAGCUUUACUGUAACUUGAAAUUGAAAUUGGACUUUAUUUGCGCAGUAUAGGUGGGAGGCGUUGAAAAUAAUCUCGCGGGAUUAUUGGAGCCAUCAGUGAGAUACCACUCCUAUAAUGUUAGAUUUCUAACUUUGUAUCAUUAUCUGGUCAAAGAACAGUUUCAGGCGGGCAGUUUGACUGGGGCGGUCGCCUCCUAAAUGGUAACGGAGGCGUACAAAGGUUUCCUCUGAACGGGUAGAAAUCGUAUCUAGAGUAUAAAGGCAUAAGGAAGCUUGACUGUGAGACCUACAAGUCGAGCAGGGACGAAAGUCGGUCUUAGUGAUCUGACGGUGCUGAGUGGAAAGGCCGUCACUCAACGGAUAAAAGUUACUCUAAGGAUAACAGGCUGAUCUCCCCCAAGAGUUCACAUCGACGGGGAGGUUUGGCACCUCGAUGUCGGCUCAUCGCAUCCUGGGGCGGUAGUACGUCCCAAGGGUUGGGCUGUUCGCCCAUGAAAGCGGUACGCGAGCUGGGUUCAGAACGUCGUGAGACAGUUCGGUCCAUAUCCGGUGUAGGCGUUAGAAUAUUGAGAGGAGCCUUCUUUAGUACGAGAGGACCGAGAAGGACAUACCUCUGGCGUACCAGUUAUCGUGCCAACGGUAAACGCUGGGUAGCUAUGUAUGGAGUGGAUAACCGCUGAAAGCAUCUAAGUGGGAAGCCCACCUUAAGAUGAGUAUUC
This 1239-nucleotide ribosomal RNA is filed under the name metagenome. RNAcentral's name for it is "bacterial LSU rRNA". It matches the Rfam family "Bacterial large subunit ribosomal RNA", at positions 1564 to 2813 of the family's 2925-position model. The record is from RNAcentral.